AUUGAACGCUGGCGGCAGGCCUAACACAUGCAAGUCGAACGGUAGCACAGAGAGCUUGCUCUCGGGUGACGAGUGGCGGACGGGUGAGUAAUGUCUGGGAAACUGCCCGAUGGAGGGGGAUAACUACUGGAAACGGUAGCUAAUACCGCAUAACGUCGCAAGACCAAAGUGGGGGACCUUCGGGCCUCACACCAUCGGAUGUGCCCAGAUGGGAUUAGCUAGUAGGUGGGGUAAUGGCUCACCUAGGCGACGAUCCCUAGCUGGUCUGAGAGGAUGACCAGCCACACUGGAACUGAGACACGGUCCAGACUCCGACGGGAGGCAGGAGUGGGGAAUAUUGCACCAUGGGCGCAAGCCUGAUGCAGCCAUGCCGCGUGUAUGAAGAAGGCCUUAGGGUUGUAAGGUACUUUCAGCGGGGAGGAAGGCGGUGGAGUUAAUAACUUCACCGAUUGACGUUACCCGCAGAAGAAGCACCGGCUAACUCCGUGCCAGCCGCCGCCGUAA
RNAcentral lists this ribosomal RNA (504 nucleotides) under uncultured bacterium. RNAcentral's name for it is "partial 16S ribosomal RNA". It matches the Rfam family "Bacterial small subunit ribosomal RNA", at positions 29 to 523 of the family's 1533-position model. The record is from RNAcentral.